RNAcentral lists this ribosomal RNA (253 nucleotides) under uncultured bacterium. Its description in RNAcentral is "partial 16S ribosomal RNA". It matches the Rfam family "Bacterial small subunit ribosomal RNA", at positions 524 to 776 of the family's 1533-position model. The record is from RNAcentral.
UACGAAGGUGGCAAGCGUUGUUCGGAUUUACUGGGCGUAAAGGGUGCGUAGGCGGUCCGCUAAGUUGGAUGUGAAAACUCUGGGCUUAACCCAGAGCCUGCAUUCAAAACUGACGGGCUAGAGUUCUGGAGGGGGUAGCGGAAUUCCUGGUGUAGCGGUGAAAUGCGUAGAUAUCAGGAGGAACACCGGUGGCGAAGGCGGCUACCUGGACAGAAACUGACGCUGAGGCACGAAAGCUAGGGGAGCAAACAGG